Molecule: small nucleolar RNA, 106 nt
Organism: Cannabis sativa
Lineage: Eukaryota; Viridiplantae; Streptophyta; Magnoliopsida; Rosales; Cannabaceae
Source: RefSeq, a predicted model, not a curated record
AUACCAUGGUGUGGACACUUCCUCAACAACUCCUUGAGUCUUUCCCAUGCUUCACUAGUGAUAUCAUCUUUCAAUUGCUGAAAAGACAUGAUCUCACUUUGAAACU